GAUGAAGAACGUAGCGAAAUGCGAUAAGUAAUGUGAAUUGCAGAAUUCAGUGAAUCAUCGAAUCUUUGAACGCACAUUGCGCCCCUUGGUAUUCCGAGGGGCAUGCCUGUUCGAGCGUCAUUAUAACCCCUCAAGCUCAGCUUGGUGUUGGGGCCUGCCGCACGGGCAGCCCUUAAAAUCAGUGGCGGUGCCAUCUGGCUCUAAGCGUAGUAAUUCUUCUCGCUAUAGAGUCCCGGUGGAUGCUUGCCAUUAACCCCCAAUUUUCUAUGGUUGACCUCGGAUCAGGUAGGGAUACCCACUGAACUUAAGCAUAUCAAUAAGCGGAGGA
RNAcentral lists this unclassified non-coding RNA (328 nucleotides) under soil metagenome. RNAcentral's name for it is "partial contains 5.8S ribosomal RNA, internal transcribed spacer 2, and large subunit ribosomal RNA". The stretch from base 1 to 120 matches the Rfam family "5.8S ribosomal RNA", at positions 35 to 154 of the family's 154-position model. The record is from RNAcentral.